AUUGAACGCUGGCGGCAUGCUUUACACAUGCAAGUCGAACGGCAGCACAGGGAGCUUGCUCCUGGGUGGCGAGUGGCGAACGGGUGAGUAAUGUAUCGGAACGUGCCUGGUAGUGGGGGAUAACUACUCGAAAGAGUGGCUAAUACCGCAUGAGAUCUUUGGAUGAAAGCGGGGGACCUUCGGGCCUCGUGCUACUGGAGCGGCCGAUAUCAGAUUAGGUUGUUGGUGGGGUAAAGGCCUACCAAGCCUGCGAUCUGUAGCUGGUCUGAGAGGACGACCAGCCACACUGGGACUGAGACACGGACCAGACUCCUACGGGAGGCAGCAGUGGGGAAUUUUGGACAAUGGGCGCAAGCCUGAUCCAGCAAUGCCGCGUGCAGGACGAAGGCCUUCGGGUUGUAAACUGCUUUUGUACAGAACGAAAAGUCUCUGGCUAAUAUCUAGAGAUCAUGACGGUACUGUAAGAAUAAGCACCGGCUAACUACGUG
Molecule: ribosomal RNA, 488 nt
Filed under: uncultured bacterium
Lineage: Bacteria
Description: partial 16S ribosomal RNA
Rfam family: Bacterial small subunit ribosomal RNA
Source: RNAcentral